This is a non-coding RNA of Ceratobasidium sp. AG-Ba, 94 nucleotides long. The record is from the annotation of a GenBank genome assembly. NCBI's taxonomy places the organism in Eukaryota, Fungi, Basidiomycota, Agaricomycetes, Cantharellales, Ceratobasidiaceae.
UCCGGUAUGGUGUAACGGCUAACAUUGUCGCCUUUCAGCUGACUAAUCCUGUCACAUGACGCGACGGCUCAGGGUUCGAUUCCCUGUACCGGAG